RNAcentral lists this ribosomal RNA (332 nucleotides) under uncultured bacterium. Its description in RNAcentral is "bacterial SSU rRNA". It matches the Rfam family "Bacterial small subunit ribosomal RNA", at positions 568 to 898 of the family's 1533-position model. The record is from RNAcentral.
UGCGCAGGCGGCCAUGUGUGUUAGGCGUGAAAGCCCGAGGCUUAACCUCGGAAUUGCACCUAAAACUACAUGGCUAGAGUACUGGAGAGGGAAGCGGAAUUCACGGUGUAGCAGUGAAAUGCGUAGAUAUCGUGAGGAACACCAAUGGCGAAGGCAGCUUCCUGGACAGUUACUGGCGCUCAGGCACGAAAGCGUGGGGAGCAAAAGAGAUUAGAUACCCCUGUAGUCCACGCCCUAAACGGUGCACACUAGGUCUUGGCGGAUUCGACCCCCCCAGGGCCCAAGCUAACGCGUUAAGUGUGCCGCCUGAGGACUACGGCCGCAAGGCUAAA